GACGAACGCUGGCGGCGUGCUUAACACAUGCAAGUCGAGCGGUAAGGCCCUUUCGGGGGUACACGAGCGGCGAACGGGUGAGUAACACGUGGGUGACCUGCCCUCAGCUCUGGGAUAAGCCCGGGAAACUGGGUCUAAUACUGGAUAUGACUCCACGGUGCAUGUCGUGGGGUGGAAAGCCUUGUGCGGCUGAGGAUGGGCCCGCGGCCUAUCAGCUUGUUGGUGGGGUGAUGGCCUACCAAGGCGACGACGGGUAGCCGGCCUGAGAGGGCGACCGGCCACACUGGGACUGAGACACGGCCCAGACUCCUACGGGAGGCAGCAGUGGGGAAUCUUGCGCAAUGGGCGAAAGCCUGACGCAGCGACGCCGCGUGAGGGAUGACGGCCUGGUGUAAC
Molecule: ribosomal RNA, 396 nt
Filed under: uncultured bacterium
Lineage: Bacteria
Description: bacterial SSU rRNA
Rfam family: Bacterial small subunit ribosomal RNA
Source: RNAcentral